This is a small nucleolar RNA of Ochotona princeps (American pika), 131 nucleotides long. Its record names the gene SNORA63. It matches the Rfam family "Small nucleolar RNA SNORA63". Rfam says of the family: E3 belongs to the H/ACA class of snoRNAs and is involved in the processing of eukaryotic pre-rRNA and has regions of complementarity to 18S rRNA. The record is from Ensembl. NCBI's taxonomy places the organism in Eukaryota, Metazoa, Chordata, Mammalia, Lagomorpha, Ochotonidae.
AGGCUGGGUUAAUGGUUACUGUGUAGCUGUGAGGUGCUAUAUUGUCUCACCCCCUGCCCAUAGCAAUUGUUUCCCACAAUCUCUGUCUGGCUCAAUUCUGUAGUAAGACAGGGACGCUUGGUCUCAAACAU